Molecule: ribosomal RNA, 251 nt
Filed under: uncultured bacterium
Lineage: Bacteria
Description: partial 16S ribosomal RNA
Rfam family: Bacterial small subunit ribosomal RNA
Source: RNAcentral
GACGGGGGGGGCAAGUGUUCUUCGGAAUGACUGGGCGUAAAGGGCACGUAGGCGGUGAAUCGGGUUGAAAGUUAAAGUCGCCAAAAACUGGUGGAAUGCUCUCGAAACCAAUUCACUUGAGUGAGACAGAGGAGAGUGGAAUUUCGUGUGUAGGGGUGAAAUCCGCAGAUCUACGAAGGAACGCCAAAAGCGAAGGCAGCUCUCUGGGUCCCUACCGACGCUGAGACGCGAAAGCGUGGGGAGCGAACAGG